CUGAGUAUGUAUCAUUAAGUCCCAUGAAAAAUUUGAUGAGCGUACCAUAUUGAAGGGUUUUUAAAGUUCUUGACUUUCCACCACAAUUACAUUCAUAGGUAUUCAAGGAUCUAAAUCAUCCUAUGUCACGGCCUAGAAUUCUCACCUUUGGGAUCAUGAUGGAGCCAAACAUUUCACUUGUUUGGCAAACCAACGUUAGAGAAUCUAUAAGCGCAUUUUCAUUCAAUUUCAAUAAAUAAGUCCAAUUAAACCUGUAAAUACCCAACUGGUAGUUUUGAGAAAUUGCAUCCUGUACGGUAACUUGAGGUCUCGAGCAGCUUCAUAUUAUAUAUAUCGGCUUACGUGUGCAAUCCGAGUGUGAAAUCGGAAAGCUUUUAAGUCAAAAUAUGAAAAAUAUAGUAAUUUCUAGAGUUAAAAUCUAGUUUUUAGUUGACUUUCUUCAAUAUUUUUGGUAAAUGGAUCAAGUUCUGUAUCCUAACAAUCCCGAGAAGUUUGAGGUAAAAUAUGGAACUUGGUCAUAUUCCCAAAGUUGAAUUCCGAGGUCCCUGGCUUAAGAAAAUAAUUUUUAAAGAAAAUUAUUGUGCUGGUUGUGAAAGGAAAUAAAGAAAUUAAUUAAUAUUUGAAAUCGUAAGUAUCGAGCCCGUAUUUUGGUAACCGAGCCUGGUAAUAGGGCUUUAUGAUAUUUAAGUCCUAUCUGUAAAAUUUGGUGAGAACUGGAAUUGAUUUGACGUGAUUUGGAUGUCCGGCUGAAAAAUUAGAGAAUUUGAGUGUCCUUCAGAAAAUCGUGAGUUUUGAGGUUAAAUUCGUAAUUUUUUAUGUUAUUUUGAAGAUUUGAUCGUACCGAUCAAGUCUGCAUGAUAUUUUUAAACUUGCGUGCAUGUUUGGUUUGGAGCCCCAAGGGCUUAGGUGAGUUUCAGAUAGGUUUAGGCUGUGUUGCGCUUGUUUUUGGAUGCUUCAUUAUUGUUUAUUCAUGUUAAAAUAAUGCCACAUUAAUCAAAUUAUAUCCAAAUUCAGUUUUCUUUAAAUCAUUCUAUCCGUAUAGAAACUAUGAAGCCAUAGGUAAAAGAAUCAUCGAAUUUGGACAUUGUAUGAGGAAGUUAUGCUCAUUUUCGUGUCAAGAAAAAUUGCUAGUUUCAAGUGUGUUCACAAAUGCAAACUUUUUCAUCGCACUUGCGGUGCCCAGUUUGAAAAUGCUAUCCUUUUGUCGCAAAUGCGACGUUUCCAGCCCUGCUUUGUUCGCAAUUUGUAAGACUUUGUAAUUGCGAACCCUGGGUCGCAAAUGGAACAUCUGAGGCCUAUUAAGUGAGUUUUUGAUGAGAUUUUCAACUAUUUUUAUAAUUUUCUCAAACUCUAAACCUCCAUGGGCCGAGUGUUGAUGAUUUCGUAAAGGAAAAGCUAAAUUGAGCAUUGAAUUUUCUUGAUUGAAGUAAGUAUCUUGCUUAACCUUGUGUGGAGGACUUCCCCUUAGGAUUUGAGUCUUCUAUUCUAAUUGUUGUUCAUGCAUGCGAGGUGUCAAGUGUGUGCUUGUACUUAUUUAUGGAAAAUUUGCCUCUAGGGUUUUUAGGUCGUUAUGUUCAUUAUAUGGAAAGUAUCUCGUUGUGGUUGGUUUCCUAAUUUCUUAAAUUGCCUCUAUAUGCUCAUUAGCUUUCCUCUAAUUCGUACGUGUUACUUGACCCUUAAUUCUCUUAAUUUACCUUCCUUAUUAUUUUGAUACUUCUUGAUUGUGAGUUUCCUUUAUGACUACGUGUAAAUAUGCUACAAAUCCAAUUAUUGUGGUUACCGAUGUAAUUAUCACAUGCUUAUAUGUCUAGUUAUUUUGUUUAGGUUAUCGUGCUUCGUGAUUUUUCCGUGAUCCUUAUUAUGUACUAUUCUUGUUUAAAUUGACGAUUAUUCAUGUCAAAUAAGACUUAUGACAUUCUCUUGGUAGUUUUCCACUGUUAAGUAUUGACUCGAGUUGAGAUCUAUAUUGUGAAGCUAACUGUUGAAACAAGAUUGGUUAUUGUUGAUUCCCUUGCCGGGAGGUCAUUGUUUCUAUUAUUGAUUCCCUUGCUAGGAUGUUAUUGUUUCUAUUGUUGACUGCCUUGCCGUGAUGUUAUUGUUUCUAUUGUUUGGGAGAUGAAGAGUGUGAAGCACGUAGGGUGAUGACAUGCAUGAUAUUGUGAGAGAGAGUUAAAGCACGAAGGGUGAUGCCAUGCACAUUUCUAUUUAGGCAUAUUGCGAGGAAGAGUAUAAAAGCACUAAGGGUGAUGCCCUGACCCAUUAUUGAGAGUAAAAACACGAAGGGUGAUGCCGUGCAUGAUAUUAUGAGGAAGAGCGUAAAGCAUGAAGGGUGAUGUCGUGCACAUUUCUAUUUAUGCAUAUUGUGAGGAAGAGUGAUAAUGCACGAAGGGUGAUGCCAUGCACUUUCUUUUUGUUGUGCUUCCUUGUAGUUAUCAAUUCAAGAGCUUUAAUUGUUCAAAUUUCUUUAUUGUCGUGGCCCUUGUAAUGGAACCUCAUAGAGUGUUCAAUACUUCGCCGUAUUUACAUAUAUAUUUCAAUACAUCAAAUUUUUAAUACUUGUUUUAUUUUUUUAUUCUAUUAGUUACUCAAUUAAAUUCACUUAAACCAUUUGAGGUUGUAUUUUACUUAAAAAGGAAUUUCUACAAAGUUAAUUCCUUAAAUC
Molecule: long non-coding RNA, 2662 nt
Filed under: Nicotiana benthamiana
Lineage: Eukaryota; Viridiplantae; Streptophyta; Magnoliopsida; Solanales; Solanaceae
Description: long non-coding RNA (NBEN_LNC003628)
Source: RNAcentral